Molecule: ribosomal RNA, 521 nt
Filed under: uncultured bacterium
Lineage: Bacteria
Description: partial 16S ribosomal RNA
Rfam family: Bacterial large subunit ribosomal RNA
Source: RNAcentral
UCAAGCGUGGUACCGAAGCUACGGGAUUGGUAACAAUCGGUAGGGGAGUAUUCUGACGGAGAUACGCGGUGUACCGACAAGGAGCACUAACGGCCGUCAGAAGAGCUUAUGCAGGCAUGAGUAGCGAUAAACCGGGUCAAAAAACCCGGUCGCCGUAAGCCCAAGGUUUCCUGGGGAAGGAUAAGCCUCCCAUGGGUUAGUCGGGACCUAAGUCGAGGCCGAGAGGCGUAGACGAUGGCAAGCUGGUUAAUAUUCCAGCACCGCGGUGGUACUUUAGCAGAGCAGGGACGGAGAAGGAUAGGCCAGUCCAUCUGUUGGAUCAGGUGGUUCAAGCCCGUAGGCAGCUCCCAUAGGACCCGACAGGGACAAACGUGGGGGCACGAUGCCGAGAGGUGAUGAGGUGAGCCCUCGGGCUCGCAACCUGGUGAUUCCACGCUUCCAAGAAAAGCUGCGCUGUGUGGUGCUACUGUGCCCGUACCGCAAACCGACUCAGGUGGGCGGGAAGAAUAUUCCAAGGCGCG